UGUACCCCAGAGUGAGGAAUAACUGCCCGAAAGGGUGGCUAAUACCGCAUACGGUCUUCGGAUUAAAGCCUUCGGGCGCUUUGGGAACAGCUUGCGUACGAUUAGAUAGUUGGUGAGGUAAAGGCUCACCAAGUCAACGAUCGUUAACUGGUCUGAGAGGAUGAUCAGUCAGACUGGAACUGAGAUACGGUCCAGACUCCUACGGGAGGCAGCAGUGAGGAAUCUUCCACAAUGGGGGCAACCCUGAUGGAGCAACGCCGCGUGCAGGAUGAAGGCCUUCGGGUCGUAAACUGCUUUUAUAGGUGAAUAAUAUGAAUGUAGCUUAUGAAUAAGCACCGGCUAACUACGUGCCAGCAGCCGCGGUCAUACGUAGGGUGCAAGCAUUAUCCGGAGUGACUGGGCGUAAAGAGUUGCGUAGGUGGUUUGUCAAGUGAAUAGUGAAAUCUGGUGGCUCAACCACACAGACUAUUAUUCAAACUGGCAAACUCGAGAAUAGCAGAGGUAACUGGAAUUUCUAGUGUAGGAGUGAAAUCCGUAAAUAUUAGAAGGAACACCAAUGGCGUAGGCAGGUUACUG
This 576-nucleotide ribosomal RNA is filed under the name uncultured bacterium. RNAcentral describes it as "bacterial SSU rRNA". It matches the Rfam family "Bacterial small subunit ribosomal RNA", at positions 125 to 731 of the family's 1533-position model. The record is from RNAcentral.